AGAGUUUGAUCCUGGCUCAGGAUGAACGCUAGCGACAGGCUUAACACAUGCAAGUCGAGGGGCAGCGGGGCUGAAGCUUGCUUCAGCUGCCGGCGACCGGCGCACGGGUGAGUAACACGUAUGCAACCUGCCCUGUACAGGGGGAUAAUUCGGAGAAAUCCGGUCUAAUACCGCAUAACAACUUCUUAAGACAUCUUUUGGAGUUUAAAGGAAGCGAUUCCGGUACAGGAUGGGCAUGCGGCGCAUUAGCUAGUCGGCGGGGUAACGGCCCACCGAGGCGACGAUGCGUAGGGGUUCUGAGAGGAAGGUCCCCCACACUGGUACUGAGACACGGACCAGACUCCUACGGGAGGCAGCAGUGAGGAAUAUUGGUCAAUGGGCGAGAGCCUGAACCAGCCAAGUCGCGUGAGGGAUGACGGUCCUAUGGAUUGUAAACCUCUUUUGCCGGGGAGCAAGAGGGCCACGCGUGGCCACAGGCGAGAGUACCCGGAGAAAAAGCAUCGGCUAACUCCGUGCCAGCAGCCGCGGUAAUACGGAGGAUGCGAGCGUUAUCCGGAUUUAUUGGGUUUAAAGGGUGCGUAGGCGGACUUUUAAGUCAGCGGUAAAAUUGAGGGGCUCAACCCCUUCCCGCCGUUGAAACUGGGAGUCUUGAGUGGGCGAGAAGUAUGCGGAAUGCGUGGUGUAGCGGUGAAAUGCAUAGAUAUCACGCAGAACCCCGAUUGCGAAGGCAGCAUACCGGCGCCCAACUGACGCUGAAGCACGAAAGCGUGGGGAUCACACAGGAUUAGAUACCCUGGUAGUCCACGCAGUAAACGAUGAACACUAAUUGUCCGGCGCCUUGGGGCUGGGUGAUACAGCGAAAGCGUUAAGUGUUCCACCUGGGGAGUACGCCGGCAACGGUGAAACUCAAAGGAAUUGACGGGGGCCCGCACAAGCGGAGGAACAUGUGGUUUAAUUCGAUGAUACGCGAGGAACCUUACCCGGGCUCAAACGUCGGGCGGCGGAAUGUGAAAGCAUUCUUUCAUUCGGGACGACCGACGAGGUGCUGCAUGGUUGUCGUCAGCUCGUGCCGUGAGGUGUCGGCUUAAGUGCCAUAACGAGCGCAGCCCCUACCGACAGUUGCUAACAGUUCAAGCUGAGGACUCUGUCGGGACUGCCGGCGCAAGCUGUGAGGAAGGCGGGGAUGACGUCAAAUCAGCACGGCCCUUACGUCCGGGGCGACACACGUGUUACAAUGGCAGGUACAGCGGGAGGCCAUGUGGCGACACAGAGCGGAACCCGAAAACCUGUCUCAGUUCGGAUUGGAGUCUGCAACCCGACUCCAUGAAGCUGGAUUCGCUAGUAAUCGCGCAUCAGCCACGGCGCGGUGAAUACGUUCCCGGGCCUUGUACACACCGCCCGUCAAGCCAUGGAAGCCGGGAGUGCCUGAAGUGCGUGACCGCAAGGAGCGCCCUAAGGUAAAACUGGUGACUGGGGCUAAGUCGUAACAAGGUAACC
RNAcentral lists this ribosomal RNA (1497 nucleotides) under uncultured bacterium. RNAcentral describes it as "bacterial SSU rRNA". It matches the Rfam family "Bacterial small subunit ribosomal RNA". The record is from RNAcentral.